CUCGCAAGAGCAAAGCAGGGGACCUUCGGGCCUUGCGCUACCGGAUAUGCCCAGGUUGGGAUUAGCUAGUUGGUGAGGUAAGGGCUCACCAAGGCGACGAUCCCUAGCUGGUCUGAGAGGAUGAUCAGGCCACACUGGAACUGAGACACGGUCCAGACUCCUACGGGAGGCAGCAGUGGGGAAUAUUGCACAAUGGGCGCAAGCCUGAUGCAGCCAUGCCGCGUGUAUGAAGAAGGCCUCGG
Molecule: ribosomal RNA, 242 nt
Filed under: uncultured Vibrio sp.
Lineage: Bacteria; Pseudomonadati; Pseudomonadota; Gammaproteobacteria; Vibrionales; Vibrionaceae
Description: partial 16S ribosomal RNA
Rfam family: Bacterial small subunit ribosomal RNA
Source: RNAcentral